RNAcentral lists this ribosomal RNA (467 nucleotides) under uncultured bacterium. RNAcentral's name for it is "partial 16S ribosomal RNA". It matches the Rfam family "Bacterial small subunit ribosomal RNA", at positions 28 to 506 of the family's 1533-position model. The record is from RNAcentral.
GACGAACGCUGGCGGCGUGCUUAACACAUGCAAGUCGAACGGAAAGGCCCUGCUUUUGUGGGGUGCUCGAGUGGCGAACGGGUGAGUAACACGUGAGUAACCUGCCCUUGACUUUGAGAUAACUUCAGGAAACUGGGGCUAAUACCGGAUAGGAGCUCCUGCUGCAUGGUGGGGGUUGGAAAGUUUCGGCGGUUGGGGAUGGACUCGCGGCUUAUCAGCUUGUUGGUGGGGUAGUGGCUUACCAAGGCUUUGACGGGUAGCCGGCCUGAGAGGGUGACCGGCCACAUGGGGACUGAGAAACGGCCCAGACCCCCACGGGGGGAAGGAGGGGGGAAUAUUGCAAAAGGGGCGGAGCCCGGAUGCAGAAACCCCGGGUGGGGGAGGACGGCUUUCGGGUGGUAAACCGUUUUCGCCGGUGACGAAGGGGGGGGGAGGGUAAGGGGUAAAGAAGCACCGGCAAACUACGU